Small nuclear RNA from Tachyglossus aculeatus (Australian echidna), 103 nucleotides. NCBI's taxonomy places the organism in Eukaryota, Metazoa, Chordata, Mammalia, Monotremata, Tachyglossidae. The record is from RefSeq and is a predicted model, not a curated record.
GCUCGCCUCGGCAGCACAUACUAAAAUUGGAAUGAUACAGAGAAGAUUAGCAUGGCUUCUGCACAAGGAUGACACGCAAAUUCAAGAAGCAUUCCAUUUUUUA